Sceloporus undulatus (fence lizard) is the source of this 458-nucleotide long non-coding RNA. RefSeq lists it as uncharacterized. Lineage: Eukaryota; Metazoa; Chordata; Lepidosauria; Squamata; Phrynosomatidae. The record is from RefSeq and is a predicted model, not a curated record. The transcript has 3 exons.
GUAAUCCACUCAGCAGUGUCCACUUCAUGCUGCUUUUUCUAAAGUCUAGCCAAUAGAGAAUAACAAUUUGAAGACUUAUUUAUUAAUCUUUCUUCGGUGCAUUGUAUGCCAGCACUGCUUCAGCAAUAUGAUGUGGAUGGACUGGCAAGGUUUCCAAUGGGCCUGGGAUUGACACCAUAUUUAUGUCCAUUGGCUACAGCUGUUUGGGGUUUUUCCCCCUUGCAGCACUGAUUCACAGAUCACUACUUUGAGCUCACUGUUGAAUGCUGUAGAAAGAACUCUGCUUACUGGGAGGUAAAGAUGUUUUGCAGUGGACAAACAUAGGUGACUUGUGAGGACUCCCGACCACCACCAUCACCAUCACAAGGAUAACUCACCUCUCCUGUUCAGUCUAUGAACUGCCAUUGAUUGUGAGAUUCCAGAUAUGUUUGCAUUAAUAAAAAAACAUAAUCAGUGCA